GGUUCAAAACAACUUAUGAAACCCGCACCAUUGCCAGAAUCCUCAAAUCGGCUCACGCUGCCAGAAAACUAAGAGAUUCUUCAGGAAAGAGCAUUACCUCCUCAACAUGCCAGCCCAAUUGCUCGGAGGCAAUUUAAAGAAAAGCAUGCACUUCCCUUCUCCCCAAAUGUUCAGAUCGCCUGAACUUGAAAACCAGCAACAAUGACCAUCCCACCUCAAGGAACCACAAGCAACAAUUUUAAAAAGCAGACUUUCCUGGGGGUGGAAGUCACUGUCUUCCUUCCUUAAAAGAAAAAAAACUUUUAUCAUUUGUUUUAACAAUAUGUCCUGCGCAACACAACCCUGGAAUAGGCCUACAUUAGUUCUGUUCACAACGCUAACUUGUUAUAUCUGCCUCAAUAAUUAUAUACAAUAUAUAUACACACAGAGAGACAUUUGGAACGGGACUUAUGCAGCAAGCGAGCUGUUCUGUAUUGCUUUCUUUAAUAAAGUUCUGCCACAAAAGUUUUGGCAAUAA
Non-coding RNA from Podarcis muralis (Common wall lizard), 517 nucleotides. The record is from RefSeq and is a predicted model, not a curated record. NCBI's taxonomy places the organism in Eukaryota, Metazoa, Chordata, Lepidosauria, Squamata, Lacertidae.